This is a non-coding RNA of Coffea arabica (coffee), 1794 nucleotides long. Lineage: Eukaryota; Viridiplantae; Streptophyta; Magnoliopsida; Gentianales; Rubiaceae. The record is from RefSeq and is a predicted model, not a curated record.
UAAAGGGUGCUAUGAUAGAUAAAUAGACAAAUGUCCAGAAUAUAAUUUUCCUACAUUUUCUUCCGUAAAAGCCAGCUUAUAUUAGUCUUUCUUCCUUUCUUCUUCAAGUCUUGUCCUCUUUCAACUUUCCAAUCUGCAUACAGUUGAAGAAACAAUCAUGGAUAGAGAGCAAGAAGAGAUGCAAUUUUUAGGCCUUUUUGGGAUCUAUGCAGAAGCCUACAAAGUGGUUUUUAGAUGGAGAAAAAUCUUCAGCAAAAUCGCCCUAUCUUUGAUCCUUCCACUAUCCCUCAUUUUCUUGGCUCAUAUAGAACUAUCCCAUCUACUCAAGAUAAAAGUCAUCCACACUGAAAACCAAUUGCAUCGUGCCCAAUCAGAGCCUCAAAAAAGCAAGAAACUCACUGAUUUGAAUUGGUACAACAUCACUUACCUCACAUUUCUCCUCAUUUUUUCUCUGCUUUCCACUGCUGCUGUUGUUUACACCAUUGCCUGCAUAUAUACCGGCCGAGAAAUAACCUUCAAGAAGGUCAUGAGUGUUGUCCCAAAGGUCUGGCAAAGGCUUGUGGGCACUUUUCUGUGCGCUUCUCUUGCUUUCUUUGCUUAUAACCUCAUAGCUUUACUAGUUUUAAUGAUAUUGACCAUGACCCUUGGAGAAACGUUGAUUGGUGCUGUUUUGUUAAUCCUCUUGUUGAUUGUGUAUAUUCUGGUCUUUGUCUACAUGACCAUAAUUUGGCAGUUGGCCUGUGUUGUGUCUGUUUUAGAAGACUCAUAUGGGAUCAAAGCUAUGAUGAAAAGCCAGGAAUUAAUCAAAGGGAAGAUGCCGAUUAGCAUAGUUAUAUUUUUUAAGCUGAAUUUGUCCCUUGCUGCAAUUCAGCUGUUGUUUUAUGCUCAUGUUGUUCAUGGUGGAUGGAGAUUUGGAGUAUUACACCGUUUGGGAUUAGGGAUGCUGUGUUUGUUGCUGCUUUUCAAGUUGAUUCUCUUUGGAUUGGUGAUUCAAACAAUUGUCUACUUUGUUUGCAAGUCUUAUCACCAUGAAAACAUUGAUAAGUCAGCCCUAUCGGAUCAUCUUGAAGCUUAUUUGGGGGAACAUGUGCCUUUGAAGUCCAAGGAUGUACAACUGGAGCAGCAGAAUAUGAUGCUUGAUGGUUGAUUCUACAUCAAAUUCAUGGUUAGGUAUUUUCAGUGUAAGCGGUUGGCACAUUAAAGUAUCGAUUUUGGGUUUCCACUCCUCUUGAUUAUCAGAUUGGUGGAACCGAUAACCAAUACCAACCUGAAGCAUCUUCUUCCCAGAUCUCAAUUAGUAUAACAGAUGAUUCUAAUCAACAACAUUUCAAUACACUUCAUAUGAAUCAUUUAUCAGAGGGUUCAACAAAAACCACAGAGGAAGGGAAUUUUCAUAAAAAGAUUUGCAUGAGAAGAAGCAUGUGUCACUGAAUUCUCUCACCCAAGAUAGCUGGAAAGUUGCGUGAAAAGUGAGAAAAAAUGGUUGUGCCACUUGCAGAAGAGAGAGGCAGAUCCAAGCCCUGGAUUCGAGGCCUAAACAUAUGAUCCGAGGCUAUUUUAACAUGGAUCUGAGCUUGGAUCGCCUGACCUUUGAAUCCAUUGGUCCAGAUGAUCAGAUGAGAGCUCGGAUGGGGAUAGAUCUGAGCUCGGAUCCAUCUCCCAUGUUUUUAUCUUCUGUUUCAUUUCUCUUUUGCUCAAUUUUCAUUCCUUGUUUCACUUAUCCGUUGUCCUCCAACGAACACCUUGCCUCUCUUUUAUCUUAUGUAAGUAUUUCGUGCAUCGAUAACCUAUAAA